Molecule: ribosomal RNA, 443 nt
Filed under: uncultured bacterium
Lineage: Bacteria
Description: partial 16S ribosomal RNA
Rfam family: Bacterial small subunit ribosomal RNA
Source: RNAcentral
CCUACGGGGUGCAGCAGUGGGGAAUAUUGGGCAAUGGACGCAACUCUGACCCAGCAACGCCGCGUGAAUGAUGAAGGUCUUCGGAUUGUAAAGCCCUUUUCUAAGGGAAGAAGAAAGUGACGGUACCUUAGGAAUAAGCCUCGGCUAACUACGUGCCAGCAGCCGCGGGAAUACGUAGGAGGCAAGCGUUAUCCGGAAUGACUGGGUGAAAAGGGUGCGUAGGGGGUUUGACAAGUUAGUAGCGCAACUCCGGAGCUUAACUGCGGAAGUAUUACUAAAACUGUUGGACUUGAGUGCAGGAGGGGCAAGCGGAAUUCCUGGUGUAGCGGUGGAAUGCGUAGAUAUUAGGAAGAACACCAGUGGCGAAGGCGGAUUGCUGGACUGUAACUGACGCUGAGGCACGAAAGCGUGGGGAGCGAACAGGAUUAGAUACCCUGGUAGUC